CUCUAAAGUGACUGCCGGUGCAAGCCGGAGGAAGGUGGGGAUGACGUCAAAUCAUCAUGCCCCUUAUGACCUGGGCUACACACGUGCUACAAUGGAUAGUACAAAGGGUCGCGAAGCCGCGAGGUGGAGCUAAUCCCAUAAAACUAUUCUCAGUUCGGAUUGUAGGCUGCAACUCGCCUACAUGAAGCCGGAAUCGCUAGUAAUCGUGGAUCAGCAUGCCACGGUGAAUACGUUCCCGGGCCUUGUACACACCGCCCGUCACACCACGAGAGUUUGUAACACCCGAAGUCGGUAGGGUAACCUUUAUGGAGCCAGCCGCCGAAGGUGGGACAGAUAAUUGGGGUGAAGUCGUAACAAGGUAGCCGUAUCGGAAGGUGCGGCUGGAUCACCUCCUUUCUAAGGAA
RNAcentral lists this ribosomal RNA (404 nucleotides) under Listeria monocytogenes. Its description in RNAcentral is "bacterial SSU rRNA". It matches the Rfam family "Bacterial small subunit ribosomal RNA", at positions 1138 to 1533 of the family's 1533-position model. Lineage: Bacteria; Bacillati; Bacillota; Bacilli; Caryophanales; Listeriaceae. The record is from RNAcentral.